Molecule: long non-coding RNA, 1085 nt
Organism: Neopelma chrysocephalum (saffron-crested tyrant-manakin)
Lineage: Eukaryota; Metazoa; Chordata; Aves; Passeriformes; Pipridae
Exons: 3
Source: RefSeq, a predicted model, not a curated record
CCCCUCGCCCGGCCUGCCCACCUGCCGCCCAGCCCACCCCGGCGCCUGCUGCGAAAAUGGGGGGCCUGGCCCACGCCAAUAUCCGUAGGAUCUCCUUGCGGGGCUUUAUCCUGGUAGAUUUAUCAAAAGAGCAACGAAGGGUUUAUUUCUCUGUGCAACUUCUUGACGGUGGUUUCCUUCUCCCUCGCCACCCAUAAGCGUACUUAAUAAUUGGGACCCGAUUGCCUGUGGGCUUAUGACACUGACCAAAAUUCUAUGGAUGGGAAUGCAGGAGAAAAGGAGAAGGAAAAAAAGAAGCAAAGAGUAUCUGUGUUCAACUGAGGAGUGACAAAUAUAUUCUCCUGCCUGUUGCUGGUUCAGGUGUUCUGAGAAGAAAUUGAAUGCAUAGACAGAGAGCCAGUAUUUUCAGCAUGGAAACCACAAGUCUUGGAAAGGAAGUUUUCCACUGGUUGCUCCUCUCUUCUGCCAAUACAUGCAUCAUCAUCUUUACUGCUUCUUUAAUGUAUCACAAAUAAGUUAUUUUUUAGUCAACUUUCCAGGAAAACCAAUUCAGAAAUCCUAUGAAGAUUCUUUUGAUGUUUCCAUUAAAUAAAAUUCCCUCAUGGGGAAUAUAAGACCAGCAAGAGCUCUUUAAUAUCUAAUUCAUUACACUAACUUGGUUAUCUAUAUGGGAAGAAACUAUAUUGCGAAUAUUUAGACCUUCAUUUAAAUGUGAUUUAUUUCAGAGGUUUUAAAUUCCAGAUCAAAAUAAUCAAACAAUUUCAACAUAACAAUAAGCUUACCCUUCCCCAGUGCAGAAGAGUGUGCAAAAAUGUUUGCUUAAUAAGUUUAAACUCCUGAGAUGGAUAUGCUCAGCAGCAGCAAAUACAUCCUGUGCUUAGAUCAUGUAGUGAACAUCAGCGUGCUUGUUUGCUGUGGGGCCCGACUUAAAACCUCUGCAAUUAUACUCAGUCUGAGGAUAGAAAAUCUUUGCUGUCGACAUAGCAGACCAAGUGAUUCAGUGCUCAAGGUACUUUAGUGCUGCUUGAACAUAAAGAAGAGGAAGCAAGGAGGAAGGGUGUUUAUUUUGGUAAAAUCUUGGAGAA